UACGUAGGGGGCAAGCGUUGUCCGGAUUUAUUGGGCGUAAAGGGCGUGUAGGCGGUUGGUCAAGUCUGAUGUGAAAGCCCGGGGCUCAGCCCCGGAAGGGCAUCGGAAACUAGCCAGCUGGAGCGCGAUAGAGGAGGGUGGAAUUCCUGGUGUAGCGGUGAAAUGCGUAGAUAUCAGGAGGAACACCGGCGGCGAAGGCGGCCCUCUGGAUCGUUGCUGACGCUGAGACGCGAAAGCGUGGGGAGCAAACAGG
Molecule: ribosomal RNA, 253 nt
Filed under: uncultured bacterium
Lineage: Bacteria
Description: partial 16S ribosomal RNA
Rfam family: Bacterial small subunit ribosomal RNA
Source: RNAcentral